UUGACCUCAAAUCAGGUAGGACUACCCGCUGAACUUAAGCAUAUCAAUAAGCGGAGGAAAAGAAACUAACAAGGAUUCCCCUAGUAACUGCGAGUGAAGCGGGAAAAGCUCAAAUUUAAAAUCUGGCGGUCUCCGGCCGUCCGAG
RNAcentral lists this ribosomal RNA (145 nucleotides) under Hebeloma mesophaeum. Its description in RNAcentral is "partial 28S ribosomal RNA". It matches the Rfam family "Eukaryotic large subunit ribosomal RNA", at positions 1 to 142 of the family's 3401-position model. The record is from RNAcentral. Lineage: Eukaryota; Fungi; Basidiomycota; Agaricomycetes; Agaricales; Hymenogastraceae. RNAcentral also lists the same sequence under 1 other name.